This 220-nucleotide unclassified non-coding RNA is filed under the name Erythrobasidium hasegawianum. RNAcentral describes it as "partial internal transcribed spacer region". The stretch from base 1 to 46 matches the Rfam family "Eukaryotic small subunit ribosomal RNA", at positions 1786 to 1831 of the family's 1831-position model. Lineage: Eukaryota; Fungi; Basidiomycota; Cystobasidiomycetes; Erythrobasidiales; Erythrobasidiaceae. The record is from RNAcentral.
AAGUCGUAACAAGGUUUCCGUAGGUGAACCUGCGGAAGGAUCAUUAAUGAAUUUUUAGGGCGCUCUUUUUAGAGGUCCGGCCAAUUUCAUUUCCACACACUGUGAACACACUUCUUUUUUACACACAUUUAUUAACACACAAGUCUAUAAGAAUGUUUAAAGUCUCUUAAUUGAGCAUAAAGUUAUAAUACAACUUUCGGCAACGGAUCUCUUGGCUCUC